AUACGGAGGAUCCGAGCGUUAUCCGGAUUUAUUGGGUUUAAAGGGAGCGUAGGUGGAUUGUUAAGUCAGUUGUGAAAGUUUGCGGCUCAACCGUAAAAUUGCAGUUGAAACUGGCAGUCUUGAGUACAGUAGAGGUGGGCGGAAUUCGUGGGGUAGCGGGGAAAUGCUUAGAUAUCACGAAGAACUCCGAUUGCGAAGGCAGCUCACUAGACUGUUACUGACACUGAUGCUCGAAAGUGUGGGUAUCAAACAGGAUUAGAUACCCUGGUAGUCCACACAGUAAACGAUGAAUACUCGCUGUUUGCGAUAUACAGUAAGCGGCCAAGCGAAAGCAUUAAGUAUUCCACCUGGGGAGUACGCCGGCAACGGUGAAACUUAAAGGAAUUGACGGGG
RNAcentral lists this ribosomal RNA (393 nucleotides) under uncultured bacterium. RNAcentral's name for it is "partial 16S ribosomal RNA". It matches the Rfam family "Bacterial small subunit ribosomal RNA", at positions 523 to 918 of the family's 1533-position model. The record is from RNAcentral.